AGCAAACGCUGGCGGCAGGCUUAACACAUGCAAGUCGAACGGGCACUUCGGUGCUAGUGGCAGACGGGUGAGUAACACGUGGGAACGUACCUUUCGGUUCGGAAUAAUCCAGGGAAACUUGGACUAAUACCGGAUACGCCCUUCGGGGGAAAGAUUCAUCGCCGAUAGAUCGGCCCGCGUCUGAUUAGCUAGUUGGUGAGGUAAUGGCUCACCAAGGCGACGAUCAGUAGCUGGUCUGAGAGGAUGAUCAGCCACAUUGGGACUGAGACACGGCCCAAACUCCUACGGGAGGCAGCAGUGGGGAAUAUUGGACAAUGGGCGCAAGCCUGAUCCAGCCAUGCCGCGUGAGUGAUGAAGGCCUUAGGGUUGUAAAGCUCUUUUGUCCGGGAAGAUAAUGACUGUACCGGAAGAAUAAGCCCCGGCUAACUUCGUG
RNAcentral lists this ribosomal RNA (433 nucleotides) under uncultured bacterium. Its description in RNAcentral is "partial 16S ribosomal RNA". It matches the Rfam family "Bacterial small subunit ribosomal RNA", at positions 29 to 507 of the family's 1533-position model. The record is from RNAcentral.